Saccostrea cuccullata (small rock oyster) is the source of this 1426-nucleotide long non-coding RNA. RefSeq lists it as uncharacterized. The transcript has 3 exons. The record is from RefSeq and is a predicted model, not a curated record. Lineage: Eukaryota; Metazoa; Mollusca; Bivalvia; Ostreida; Ostreidae.
UUUGGACAUAUAUUUAUAAAAUAUGUCAAAUAUAAGCUUUUAAUAAAUAAUGUAACAUCUUUAUCCAACAUCUCACUGUAAUUCCAUGUUACUAUAGAAUUAAUAAAAAUAAUUAUUCAGAAUUAAUGUUCUUAAAGUAAGACUCAUAUGGAUCCGUGCCGUAUACUCUUGCACAGAUUAUACGUAUACAGAGCGAAUCUAAGAAGUCUUAAAGCUUAUUUUAUUAGAUUGUGUUUUCUGUGUGUAUUAAUUCUAUAAUCUUUCUUUUCACAAAAUAUAAAAAAAAAUUCAAAUAAACACAUAAGAAUUUUCACACUGACAAUUAACCCCGGUAAAGUUGCAUUACUUAAGAUCCACUCCCCAAAAACCUUCGAGAUAUCAGAUAAGGAGUGCCUCUCGCUUAGUUGGUCAGUUUCAGUGUCAGGAUAACCUUGUUAUGCAAUUUUCUUGCUGGGCAGAGUAUAGCUGUUUGCAGCUUAUCUAGGUCAAAAUUUGAAUUCAACUGAUGGACAAGAAGUGCGCGUUUCUUUCCUGUUCAUAUUUCAUGUGUUUUUGAAGCUAUAUACACAAGGAUUUAGGCUGGAAUAUCAACUUCUGCUCAUUCGCCGUAAGGUUCAAUCAACCAGUUAUGCAGGGAAUUGAUUGUAUAGUCAGCCUUGAUUGCAUCAGAUUCUUCUCCUGUUAAAAUUAUACAAAGGAAUGCAACAUUUUGCUUUUGCUUUAGAGGGUGGAUUCUCCUGUUCAUUUCUUUCAUUCGUGGGACUUAACUCUAUGCGUGAUUAAAAUCAAUGGAUCCGCCACUUUGUGGAACUUAGAAGUGUAAGGCAUACGCGUACUUCGAAGGACCUGGAUGUGAUUAUUGUGACCCACUUUUCCCAAGGAAUAUAAAUUUUGUCAAGCAGUGAUUUUUGAGAUUCAGUGAUUGAAUCCGAAUUUGUGUUUGUCUUAAAAAUACAUGUAAAAUUAAUUCUCUCACAAUCAUAAUACUUGAUUACAACUUAUAUAAAUAUUACGCAACUUGAAUAAAAUUUUUUAUUAGAAUUUGAAAUGUAUUUGUUUAUAAAGCAAAAUGUAAUAUGAAUUCAACGUGAUUUCAACCAAAUAUCAACGUUUGUACAUCCGAAAAAUUUCAACCAAAUCUCAACCUAAUUUCAACCAAUGUUCACUUUUGUUCAAUGUUGAUAUUUGACGUUGAAACAACGUUGAAGCUUCAACGUUGCCUCAACUUUCAUUUGCAACCAAAAAUCAACCAUAAAUCAACCAAAAAUUCAACCCAUUUUCAACGUUUAUUCAACGUUGAAAAUUGACGUUGAAACAACGUUAUGUCUCAACGUUGCCUCAACUUUCAUAUGCAACCAAAAUUCAACGUUGAUUCAACGUUGAAGUGCAACGUUGAAUCAACGUUGAAUCAACGUUGAAAUGCCUG